This 317-nucleotide long non-coding RNA is filed under the name Eucalyptus grandis. RNAcentral's name for it is "long non-coding RNA (EGRA_LNC005111)". Lineage: Eukaryota; Viridiplantae; Streptophyta; Magnoliopsida; Myrtales; Myrtaceae. The record is from RNAcentral.
GGGAAGGGGAAAGGAAGAGGAAACUAAAAUUUUAGAAGGAAGAAGGCAAAAAAGAGAUAGAAAACCCAUCAGCAAGUGUAAAAUAUAACAUGAGAUUCUCAGUUACCACCACGAACUCUUAAAGACCAAAACACCACUUUCAACAGCAGCAACUCUAUCUAUAAGCAGGCAGAAAAGUCUCUCACAUCACAUUGCAACUUGAUGGGUUCUCAUCGCUGAAGUAGCUGUACCCCUCCGUGUGGGAGGGCGGUGGCGGGUAUGGGUAUGAGCCGGCAUAUGGGUUUGGGUUCGGGUUUGGGUACUGGUUUGGGUACGGC